GACGAACGCUGGCGGCGUGCUUAACACAUGCAAGUCGAACGAUGAAGCUGGAGCUUGCUCCGGUGGAUUAGUGGCGAACGGGUGAGUAACACGUGAGCAAUCUGCCCUUGACUCUGGGAUAACUGCGGGAAACUGUAGCUAAUACCGGAUAUGAGGCUUGGAGGCAUCUCCAGGUCUGGAAAGAAUUUCGGUCAAGGAUGAGCUCGCGGCCUAUCAGCUAGUUGGUGAGGUAAUGGCUCACCAAGGCGACGACGGGUAGCCGGCCUGAGAGGGUGACCGGCCACACUGGGACUGAGACACGGCCCAGACUCCUACGGGAGGCAGCAGUGGGGAAUAUUGCACAAUGGGCGAAAGCCUGAUGCAGCAACGCCGCGUGAGGGAUGAAGGCCUUCGGGUUGUAAACCUCUUUUAGCAGGGAAGAAGCGAAAGUGACGGUACCUGCAGAAAAAGCACCGGCUAACUACGUGCCAGCCGCCGCCGUAA
This 483-nucleotide ribosomal RNA is filed under the name uncultured bacterium. RNAcentral's name for it is "partial 16S ribosomal RNA". It matches the Rfam family "Bacterial small subunit ribosomal RNA", at positions 28 to 523 of the family's 1533-position model. The record is from RNAcentral.